This 283-nucleotide ribosomal RNA is filed under the name uncultured Synergistaceae bacterium. Its description in RNAcentral is "partial 16S ribosomal RNA". It matches the Rfam family "Bacterial small subunit ribosomal RNA", at positions 1100 to 1381 of the family's 1533-position model. The record is from RNAcentral. Lineage: Bacteria; Thermotogati; Synergistota; Synergistia; Synergistales; Synergistaceae.
AACCCCUGCCGCCAGUUGCCAACGGGUAGAGCCGGGCACUCUGGCGGGACUGCCAUCGACAAGAUGGAGGAAGUGGGGGAUGACGUCAAGUCAUCAUGGCCCUUAUGUCCAGGGCGACACACGUGCUACAAUGGCCGGCACAGCGGGAAGCGAGGCAGUGAUGCCAAGCGGAUCCCUUAAAGCCGGUCUCAGUUCGGAUUGAAGUCUGCAACUCGACUUCAUGAAGCUGGAAUCGCUAGUAAUCGCAGAUCAGCCAAGCUGCGGUGAAUACGUUCCCGGGCUU